GGUUAGGCCUGGGUGUUCGGCUA
Molecule: non-coding RNA, 23 nt
Filed under: Arabidopsis thaliana (thale cress)
Lineage: Eukaryota; Viridiplantae; Streptophyta; Magnoliopsida; Brassicales; Brassicaceae
Source: RNAcentral